GUCCACGCCGUAAACGAUGACAACUAGGUGUCGGGUGUCCAAGGACGUUCGGUACCGCAGCUAACGCGAUAAGUUGUCCGCCUGGGGAGUACGGCCGCAAGGCUAAAACUCAAAGGAAUUGACGGGGCCCGCACAAGCAGCGGAGCGUGUGGUUUAAUUCGAUGUAACGCGAAGAACCUUACCUGGCCUUGACAUUCGGGUGGUAGGGAUCCGAAAGGUGACCGACCCUCGGGAGCUCGAACAGGUGCUGCAUGGCUGUCGU
RNAcentral lists this ribosomal RNA (262 nucleotides) under uncultured bacterium. RNAcentral's name for it is "partial 16S ribosomal RNA". It matches the Rfam family "Bacterial small subunit ribosomal RNA", at positions 793 to 1055 of the family's 1533-position model. The record is from RNAcentral.